RNAcentral lists this long non-coding RNA (2896 nucleotides) under Carica papaya (papaya). RNAcentral describes it as "long non-coding RNA (CPAP_LNC001400)". Lineage: Eukaryota; Viridiplantae; Streptophyta; Magnoliopsida; Brassicales; Caricaceae. The record is from RNAcentral.
GCCAUACAAUAUAUCAAUGGUUGUGAUGCCGUGCAUGUGUUUGGACAGUCGGAUGAUGAGUUAAAUUCAGUUAAAAGCUUCCUUCUCUUCACAACUUCGUCUUCAUCAUCUUCAAACCCAAAAUUCCAGUUACACAAAUGAGUGAGUGGGGAAGUUCAUAGCAAAAAAAAGUAUAAAGAGAGGGAGAGAGUGAUGCACCAGAAUAGAAUGCGUGUUUUGUGUGCCUAUAAGAGGAGAAAUUACUUCUUCUUGAUAAGAGGUGAGUCAUUUCUUCCUCUUUUAAUUUGUUCUUUUUAAUUUUUUGGUAUCCUAAAACUAUUUUUAUUUAAAAAAUUAGCUCUUAAAUUAUUGCUGCAAGUCCCACAACUAAGUAUAGUAGCUGCUGCACCUAAAAAACAACUCUAUUCAAGUAGGUGUCUAUUUUCUAUUCCAAUUUUUUUUUUGUUUCAUUUUUAUUUUACAAAUUCUUAAUCAAUCAUUAGGACAGCAUGUUAUGAAUGGUAAAAUUUAUUUUCCAGCAGUAAAAUAAAUCACAAAUCCGAAUCUAAUCUAAAAACAUCACUCAACUAUGCAUGCACAGUCACAUUGAGUUAAAGAGAAAAAUCUUCAAAUUUUCAACAAUUCCUUCAUGCAAUUUAACUUUUGUCUCGUGUAACUUUUAUCUCGUGCAUUUAUUAAGUAAAAUGAGUGAUAUUUUAACAAAUCUAAGCACGCUUUUACUAAUACUAUUUCCAUAAAGGAUACAAGUUACCAACUAGUUAAAAGUAGAAGCACAAUCAAUUAAUAAUAAUAAAGACAUGAAUAAAUAUAUACAAUUCACUUAGUACUCUUUAGUCAUCAUCAAUAAGUUAUCCCUCUAGUUGUCAUCAUCUAUGUCCUUGAGAGCAAUCAAUUUAGAGUCUUCACACCACUAAACCUGGUUCCAAACUAGAAUUCACUAUCACAACCAAAGCCUAUUGGCUCCCUUAUUAAAUUCAAUAUCCAUCCAAGGAAAUCAGUGUACCAAAUUUAACUGUAUAUUAUUUUAUUUAUGUUUUAGACCCUUUAAUAAUUUAUUAAAUUUAAUAUAUAUUUUUUAUUUCAAUUUAUUUUAUAAAUAUGUAAAAUUAUUAUAAUUUAAUUACUUCAUUUGUUAUUUAAAUUAUUUAUUUUACUUAGACUUUUAUUAUAGUUAAUUACGUUAUUUUAUUUACUUAGAUUUUUAAUUCUAUUCUUUUUUAUUACUUUAAAUAUUUUUUUAACUUAAUUUAAAUUUUAAUUAAGUUUUAUUUUUAUUUUAAUACCACCAUCACAAUUACCUUACCCAAUUUCCAUCUCAUAUUACACUUAACCAUUUUCCAAUUUAACUUUUACAAAUUUCCAUUUUUCUCCAUUUUUAUUAAUUUUUCUUUCUUGGUUCUUCCCAAAGACACCAACCUUUCCAACUCUCUCGCCUAUGGGAAAGUCCCAUUGCUGGGUUCGUCACCCAGUGGGAUUCUGUGAAGGCGCCUCGGCAUGUUUUCAUGAAUAUCGGGCCAGCACGACCCGCUGGUCUGUUGCACAAGCAACUGGCCCAAAGGAAACAAACUUUGUGCAGUUGCACAGUACCAGCUUUCCAUCUUUGGCAUUCACAAAUGCACGGAUCAUAUCUGCAUGCUCCGGCUUUGCAUAUGCAUUUCUACACCAUGUCAGAGACGUCUCAAACCAUUAUAGGUGCCCAGAAAAAAGUCUCUUCCGCUAACCAAUAUUGUAGAGUAAUGUUGCAUAAUCUUAAGGAACUUUGGUCCUCGAUUUUCUGAACAAAAAUAGAUGAGCUUAUGUUUUUCGUCCCUUUCUUCCUAGUUUUGCUAAUAAUUAUUCAUCAUUUAAUUGCUACUAAAUCAAUAUAAUAAUUAAAUGUUAAAAUUCAUAAAUUAAUAAAUAAAAAUUACCACAAAAAUGCAAAUGACACUCAUUCACUCUAUCCAUUUAAAAUGUCACUUAAUUUUAAUUUUUGAAAGAGUUUACCAUAUGUAAAUUAAUUCAUGAAGGCCAUUUUUUUGUAUAACUGGAAAUAUCACCCAUAUUAUCUGAUAAAUGCAGGAGAUAAAAGCUAAAUUGCAUGAAAGAAUUGUUGAAAUCUCGAGUGUUCUUCUCUGCAACUAAGUGUGACCGUGGUUGAUUGAUGUUUUCAGGUUAUAUUCGGGUUUAUCAUUUGUUUUAUUGUUUAAAAUAAAUUCUAAUAUUCAUAAUAUGUUGUAUGAAUUUGUAAAAAACAAAGAAACAUAAAAAAAAUUGGAAUAGAAAACAGAUGUUUAUCUAAACAAAGGUGUCUUUCAAUGAACUAACUAUUAUUUUUCGUUCUGAGAUUUGCAGCAAUAAUUUAAAAAUUAAUCUUUUAAAUAAAAAUAGUCUUAGGGCACUAAAAAACGACUCACUUCAUCAAGAGAAAGCGAUUUCUACUCUAAUACACACACAAAACAUGCCCUCUCACUCACUUGUUUAACUGGAAUUUUGGGUUUGAAGAAGAUGAAGACGAUCUUGUGAGGAGAAGGAAGCGUUUAUCUAAAUUUACCCAACAUCUCAACCGUCUAAACACAUGCACGGCGUCCUAGCCAUUGAUAUGUUGGAUGGCCGACCACAACUGGCAAAGGUGGCAAGUUUUCUUGACACCUAGCUGGUCAUCAUAGGAGCUCACCAUAUGGCUCGGUCCUGGUCAUAGCUUUAAACGGUGAAUGGUGUCAAAUCAGGGGCAACCAAUCUGCCCCUGAGUGCUAAUCAUUUGCAGCGGGAAGCUACCAAAUUAAUUUCUUUUAUUUGUAUUUUAUUUCUUGAAGUUUAUUUUAUUUACGCACACAUAUAUAAUAUACUUACAUAUAUAUAUAUAUAUGCAUACAAUAGUUGAAUAUAAAUUUAUGUAUAUAUAUUUUAUCCAGGC